Molecule: ribosomal RNA, 253 nt
Filed under: uncultured bacterium
Lineage: Bacteria
Description: partial 16S ribosomal RNA
Rfam family: Bacterial small subunit ribosomal RNA
Source: RNAcentral
UACGGAGGAUCCAAGCGUUAUCCGGAAUCAUUGGGUUUAAAGGGUCCGUAGGCGGUUUUGUAAGUCAGUGGUGAAAGCCCAUCGCUCAACGGUGGAACGGCCAUUGAUACUGCAAGACUUGAAUUAUUGGGAAGUAACUAGAAUAUGUAGUGUAGCGGUGAAAUGCUUAGAGAUUACAUGGAAUACCAAUUGCGAAGGCAGGUUACUACCAAUAUAUUGACGCUGAUGGACGAAAGCGUGGGGAGCGAACCGG